CAGCAGCUAGCUUGGUCACCUGCCCCUUUCUCCCCCUCUUCCCCCAGCUCGCUGACAGGACACAGGUGUUCCAGGCGGCUGCACACUGGGCCCCGAGGACCCAGACCCCACAUAUCCCGGCUGGCCUAGCAGUGAGCUGGGAGCCUCGCGGGUUCCACAUGACUGUGGAGUUGUUAGGGGCAGACAUCGAGUAGUGGGGACUAGCUAUAGUUGUAAGAAGUAUGAAUCAUGCUCUGUUAGUGGUGAUUGUUCUGUUCUGAUUAGAGGAAGCACAUGCUGACCUGGCUGAGACUUGUACACCCAGGACAUGGGAGUUAACCUGGGAAUGCAGCCCAUUCUCCUUUUUUAAGAACUGAUUCACCACCUUGUUGUUGAAAUAAUCCAGUUCUGAGACGCCCGUCCUUACCAGUUCCCAGCCUGCACUGCCUGUAGCCUGCACCAUUCCCCUGGCCUGCUCCCCCUGCGUGUCACUCCUACUUCCCAUGUAAUCUCUGUCCUUCUACCCAGGAUCAGCAGCUGGUUUAUGCGGAAGAGCGGAUUUUCAUGGAUGACCUGCUGCUCUCCCUCACUGCCGGCCUUAUUGGAAUAAACUCGCAUAUAUGACUCAACCCUGUCUCUGCUGACCUGGCUCAAGUAGUGACAGGCAGCCCGGACCCAUUGGUUGUCUGGCUUCAGAGUCAUCGCCCAGCUCUGCAGCUAACACCUGGCCUUUCCUGUUGGAGGUAACCGACGACCCAGGGCGGCUGGGCUGCAUGGAGACAACGCUCCCGCUGGCCUGGAGGGUUCCUGCACCACCUGAGCUGGGCAGAGUGCAGGCGGAGGAGAGAUUCUGAGCCGACCCCUUUGCCUGCUUCGAUGACCCAGUCAGUCAAGAGUGUGGUCCACACCCGUGCCUCCCUGCUUGCGAGGAGACGGAAGGAAGCCGCAAUGGCUUCCUGACGUUCCUUCCUGUGUUGGGGGAGCCCACCCCGGCGUCCCCCUGGCCUCCACACAUGGACUGUUAGACUUUAAUUAGCUUGGACACUGAACUACUCCCCCCGUCACAUGGAAAGGAGGCUCCAGGCACCGGCCUGCACUUGGAACCCCAGCUACCCCUUCUCCAGGACUGGCUUCUCCCAGUAAACUUUGGUUCCAUUAAUUGGGGGUGGGGUUGGGGGGUUGGAAGGCUCCGGGUGG
Molecule: long non-coding RNA, 1176 nt
Organism: Myotis daubentonii (Daubenton's bat)
Lineage: Eukaryota; Metazoa; Chordata; Mammalia; Chiroptera; Vespertilionidae
Exons: 3
Source: RefSeq, a predicted model, not a curated record